AUGCAGCUGGGUAUCCCCCCUUAUUCUGCUCUUAGUGUGGGCUGCCUGGUGCCCCAAAAUCAAACUUGCCCCUGCUCCACGAAAAGGUGUGGGGCUGACCCUCUGCUUCAGAGCCCAUUUCUGUCUCUCCUCCUUUUCCCACAUCCAUCUCCUCCCCCUCGAAUUUCUAGGCUUUCCUCCCUUCAUCUCCCUAUUUCCCACCACCACAUCCCUCCCUCUUUCCAGUUGCCACGACCAUAUCCCUCUCCCCAAAUUUACACAUCCUCAUGUCUCUCUCUCCCCCCUUUCCCAUCCCUAUAUCCUUCCUUCUUCUCACUUCCCUCAUCCACAUCCUUCUCUCCCCAUUUUCCCACAUCCUUAUACCUCCCUUUUUCUUCUUUUCCACAUCCAUAUCCCUUCCUCUACCUUUUCUCUAUCAUAUCCCUUCCUCUUCCUCGUUUCCCAUAUCCCUAUAACUCCUUCUCCCAGUCUUCCAUAUCCUCCAUCUCUCAUUUCCCACAGCCCCAAGUUGCCCCCUUUUCUUACAUCCAUACUCCUCCCUCUCCCUGUUUUCCCACAUCCUUUUAUCUCCCUUUUCCUUCUUUUUCAACACUCAUAUACCUUCCUCUCCCUCUUUUUCCAUAUCCCUAUGCUUCCCUUUCCCCAUUUUCCAUAUCCACAUUCCUCCCUUUUCCCAUGCCCAUAUCUCUUUGUCUCCCUUUUCCUGCACCCACAUCCUUCCCUUUUCCCUAUUUCCCACAGCCCCAUCUCUCUCUCUACCCUUUUCCCCACAUCCUUAUGCCUUCCCUCUCCCCACUUUCCAUAACCCCUCUCUCUCCCAUCUUCCACAGUCCCAUCUCUUCCUCUCCCCUCAUCCCACAUGCGUAUCCCUCCUUCUCCCCAGUUCCCACAACCCUCUUCUUCUCUUUUCCUACAUCCUUAUGCCUUCCUCUUCCCAUUUCCCAUAUCCACAUCUCUCUCCCACCCCUUUUCUUUCAUCCUUUCCCAUGCCCACAUCCAUUCCUCUCCUUUUAA
Molecule: long non-coding RNA, 1014 nt
Filed under: Phasianus colchicus (ring-necked pheasant)
Lineage: Eukaryota; Metazoa; Chordata; Aves; Galliformes; Phasianidae
Description: lncRNA (ENSPCLG00000014511.1)
Source: RNAcentral